UACGUAGGGUGCAAGCGUUAAUCGGAAUUACUGGGCGUAAAGCGUGCGCAGGCGGUUCGCUAAGACAGAUGUGAAAUCCCCGGGCUUAACCUGGGAACUGCAUUUGUGACUGGCGGGCUAGAGUAUGGCAGAGGGGGGUAGAAGUUCCACGUGUAGCAGUGAAAUGCGUAGAGAUGUGGAGGAAUACCGAUGGCGAAGGCAGCCCCCUGGGCCAAUACUGACGCUCAUGCAC
Molecule: ribosomal RNA, 232 nt
Filed under: uncultured bacterium
Lineage: Bacteria
Description: partial 16S ribosomal RNA
Rfam family: Bacterial small subunit ribosomal RNA
Source: RNAcentral